Molecule: ribosomal RNA, 501 nt
Filed under: uncultured bacterium
Lineage: Bacteria
Description: partial 16S ribosomal RNA
Rfam family: Bacterial small subunit ribosomal RNA
Source: RNAcentral
AUUGAACGCUGGCGGCAGGCUUAACACAUGCAAGUCGAGCGGGGGAAGGUAGCUUGCUACCGGACCUAGCGGCGGACGGGUGAGUAAUGCUUAGGAAUCUGCCUAUUAGUGGGGGACAACAUCUCGAAAGGGAUGCUAAUACCGCAUACGUCCUACGGGAGAAAGCAGGGGAUCUUCGGACCUUGCGCUAAUAGAUGAGCCUAAGUCGGAUGAGCUAGUUGGUGGGGUAAAGGCCUACCAAGGCGACGAUCUGUAGCGGGUCUGAGAGGAUGAUCCGCCACACUGGGACGGAGACACGGCCCAGACUCCUGCGGGAGGCAGCAGUGGGGAAUAUUGGACAAUGGGGGGAACCCUGAUCCAGCCAUGCCGCGUGUGUGAAGAAGGCCUUAUGGUUGUAAAGCACUUUAAGCGAGGAGGAGGCUACUCUAGUUAAUACCUAGGGAUAGUGGACGUUACUCGCAGAAUAAGCACCGGCUAACUCUGUGCCAGCCGCCGCAGUAA